UGGGGAAUAUUGCACAAUGGGGGAAACCCUGAUGCAGCGACGCCGCGUGAGUGAAGAAGUAUCUCGGUACGUAAAGCUCUAUCAGCAGGGAAGAAAAUGACGGUACCUGACUAAGAAGCCCCGGCUAACUACGUGCCAGCAGCCGCGGUAAUACGUAGGGGGCAAGCGUUAUCCGGAUUUACUGGGUGUAAAGGGAGCGUAGACGGCAGCGCAAGUCUGGAGUGAAAUGCCGGGGCCCAACCCCGGAACUGCUUUGGAAACUGUGCAGCUCGAGUGCAGGAGAGGUAAGCGGAAUUCCUAGUGUAGCGGUGAAAUGCGUAGAUAUUAGGAGGAACACCGGUGGCGAAGGCGGCUUACUGGACUGUAACUGACGUUGAGGCUCGAAAGCGUGGGGAGCAAACAGG
Molecule: ribosomal RNA, 404 nt
Filed under: uncultured bacterium
Lineage: Bacteria
Description: bacterial SSU rRNA
Rfam family: Bacterial small subunit ribosomal RNA
Source: RNAcentral